Poeciliopsis prolifica (blackstripe livebearer) is the source of this 906-nucleotide long non-coding RNA. RefSeq lists it as uncharacterized. The transcript has 3 exons. The record is from RefSeq and is a predicted model, not a curated record. Lineage: Eukaryota; Metazoa; Chordata; Actinopteri; Cyprinodontiformes; Poeciliidae.
GUUUCUUUGAGAGGCAGAAAAUGUCGUCUAAUCGUCGGUAAUAGACGAUUAGACUGCUGUAUAAAUCAUAAGGAAUCCGAUGGCGACAGCUAAUUCAGCAGCGCUUCGCUUUCACAGACGGUGGGGACGACGUCUCACUUUUUUCGUCACUCAGAAAAGAAGCUCUAACAAAGAUAACUUACGAGAAUGAUUUCUGGACUUGAUGCUCCAAACUGCGAUUUCCCUUCCCAUGUGAGGGUGCCCAUUGGAGAACGACAUGGUGUGCUCAAGGGAAACCACAAGUCCUGAAUACGACCAGAGCCUGUCUGCUGACGCCAGCUCGGUCGGCUGCUGAUUAAACCAUUGGGACUUUGGCAGGAAUCCGACAACAAAUGGAAAAACUGAGAAGUUCUUCCCCUUCUUUUACAAGAUCACAAACAAGACCGACCACCUAGUAAUGCAAACUGCAACUCUGCCUUCACCACCAUUCAAACUUCAUGACACAUGGAAAACUUUGACUUAUAUGUCUUAAAAUGGUAAAGGACAGUUCAUGGCUCCUUCUUAAAACUUUGUUCUGUGUCCCACCAGCAGACAACAAAGAGGGGAGGAUCUCGCUUUGAAUUUCCUCUCACCAAGGUUUCCAACUUUUUCCAUAUGUGCAAAGAGUUUUCAGGAAGUUUUCCCUGUCCUUUCAAAGAAAAGCAUCAAAAUCAGUUGUGCACACAAGACUGGGAAUACCACACUCUGAAAGUCAACAAGUUUUUUGUUGCAUCCAAAAAAUAAAAAAUACAGAGUGGAAUUGAAGAAAAUGAAGCUGUGCCGUUAUUUUAUAGAAUUUCUCUUUAGUUGUUAUUUUCUAAAAUGAGAAGUGACGCAGGGCUGAAGCCAGCACACUGUUUCAGAGCCAAGAACAUUGAGCAACAAACG